UACGGGGGGGGCAAGCGUUGUUCGGAAUUACUGGGCGUAAAGGGCUUGUAGGUGGCCAACUAAGUCAGACGUGAAAUCCCUCGGCUUAACCGGGGAACUGCGUCUGAUACUGGAUGGCUCGAGUUUGGGAGAGGGAUGCGGAAUUCCAGGUGUAGCGGUGAAAUGUGUAGAGAUCGGGAGGAACACCGGUGGCGAAGGCGGGUCUCUGGGCAUCUCCUGACGCUGAGGCGCGAAAGCGUGGGGAGCAAACAGG
RNAcentral lists this ribosomal RNA (253 nucleotides) under uncultured bacterium. Its description in RNAcentral is "partial 16S ribosomal RNA". It matches the Rfam family "Bacterial small subunit ribosomal RNA", at positions 524 to 776 of the family's 1533-position model. The record is from RNAcentral.